UAGGCCAGGGAGGGGGAUGGGCAGACCACACUGCUUUCAGCUGCCUACUUAAAAACACUUCCCUCUGGGCAGAACUCCUUUCUACACAGACAUUGUCAGCCCCGGACCACAGUUGCAGACUCCAUCCUUCCUAGAGAAUCCUGCCAGACUCAGCAACAUGUUUGCCAGGACCCUCUCCACUCUUGCCAGGCUCUACCUCCUGGGCAUGUUCCUCUCCAUUCUCCCAGGUUCCCAAGCCCAGGUGCGGCUAGUGGAGACAGGAGGAAAAGUCACACAUGAAGGCCAGUCUGUGACCCUGACCUGCAAGGCCUCUGGCUUUAACUUCAAGGAGUAUUCCAUGUCCUGGCACUGGAGCUCAACGGAGAGCCUCAGGGAGCUGGUGGCCAGCAUCAACUGGUAUACUGGCAAUUACAAAGAGUACAACCCCAGAAUUAAAGGCAGGGCUUCCAUCGAGAGGGACAAUGUGAACAAAAUUGUCUCUCUGACCUUGAGCCCGCUUCAAAAGGAGGACUCAGGCACAUACUACUGUGCCAGACUCACUCUGCUAGAGCCCAGGCAGAGACCUUGA
Molecule: non-coding RNA, 568 nt
Organism: Antechinus flavipes (yellow-footed antechinus)
Lineage: Eukaryota; Metazoa; Chordata; Mammalia; Dasyuromorphia; Dasyuridae
Source: the annotation of a RefSeq genome assembly